This 460-nucleotide ribosomal RNA is filed under the name uncultured bacterium. RNAcentral describes it as "partial 16S ribosomal RNA". It matches the Rfam family "Bacterial small subunit ribosomal RNA", at positions 338 to 795 of the family's 1533-position model. The record is from RNAcentral.
CCUACGUGAGGCAGCAGUGAGGAAUAUUGGUCAAUGGGCGCGAGCCUGAACCAGCCAAGUAGCGUGAAGGAUGACUGCCCUACGGGUUGUAAACUUCUUUUAUAAAGGAAUAAAGUGAGGCACGUGUGCCUUUUUGUAUGUACUUUAUGAAUAAGGAUCGGCUAACUCCGUGCCAGCAGCCGCGGUAAUACGGAGGAUCCGAGCGUUAUCCGGAUUUAUUGGGUUUAAAGGGAGCGUAGAUGGGUUGUUAAGUCAGUUGUGAAAGUUUGCGGCUCAACCGUAAAAUUGCAAUUGAUACUGGCAGUCUUGAGUACAGUUGAGGAGGGCGGAAUUCGUGGUGUAGCGGUGAAAUGCUUAGAUAUCACGAAGAACUCCGAUUGCGAAGGCAGCUUACUAAACUGCCACUGACAUUGAUGCUCGAAAGUGUGGGUAUCAAACAGGAUUAGAUACCCGAGUAGUC